UAAAAAUAGUAGAGUAUAGAGUGGCAGGACUGGAAGGAAGGCUAUUAUAGAAUUCUAUUUCUACCAAUUUAUGAUAAUCCUUCUUCCAUAGGGAAAAGGUUUAUAAUGAAUAUGGAGGUGUUUGAGAUGAAGUUUUUUCUUCUAGAGGGAAAAACUAUUCAUAUUAGUAAUUGGUUCCCUACACAUUACGAAACCAAAGCUUUGAUCUUUUACUGCCAUAAAAGUAUCAAACAAGGAAACCACAGGGAAAAAGGCCGGGAAAAAGCUCAAGUUGGGGCCGGUAAAGGCAACACCGUUAGAACAGGAGCUAUUGAUCUCGAUUUAAAAGUCAAAAUCUUGGG
This is a non-coding RNA of Nicotiana tabacum (common tobacco), 341 nucleotides long. The record is from RefSeq and is a predicted model, not a curated record. Lineage: Eukaryota; Viridiplantae; Streptophyta; Magnoliopsida; Solanales; Solanaceae.